AACACCUCAAAGCCUUUUUUUUUAUUAAGAAAGAUUUUGGACUUGAGCAAUCCCAACACUUUUCUCCAAAAGUGGCGGGUUGCUUGAAAUGCAGGUGCAGCUGGACAUUCUCCUGAGCUAAAAGCAUAUUCAUUUAGUCCCGUCAAACGGAUUAUUACUUUUGCUGCAGCUAACAUAAAGGGAGUUUGACCAUUUUGGCUGACUGAUGCAGGAUUUUCACAAGAGUCUUCAAACCACUCUUGUUAA
RNAcentral lists this unclassified non-coding RNA (246 nucleotides) under uncultured Mortierella. RNAcentral's name for it is "partial internal transcribed spacer 2". Lineage: Eukaryota; Fungi; Mortierellomycota; Mortierellomycetes; Mortierellales; Mortierellaceae. The record is from RNAcentral.